Long non-coding RNA from Micropterus salmoides (largemouth bass), 462 nucleotides. RefSeq lists it as uncharacterized. The transcript is spliced from 3 exons. NCBI's taxonomy places the organism in Eukaryota, Metazoa, Chordata, Actinopteri, Centrarchiformes, Centrarchidae. The record is from RefSeq and is a predicted model, not a curated record.
CACCCCUUUGUGUUUUGAAUUUUUGUGCUUAGUGUUUUUGGACUGCUUACACCAUAUCACCUAGAACAGAGGAAGAAAGAUCACAAUGACGGUUCAGCCCUUUCACCAGAAAGACCAUCGCUUCAAAUGGAAAUGACCAGUUGCUGCAUGAUGAUGUUGGUGGAUGAGUCACCCCGUCUUCACGUGACAUCAUGAAUCACUGCACCUCUCCAUGGGCAGAGCUGCAAGCAUCAACCACUUCACUCCUCUCUUAUCUCAGCCCUCAUUCCCUCCUCCCUGCCUCUGCCCAGCCGUGUGUUACCUAGCAUGCUCUCUGUCUUCACUGUUCUCCACUUGUGUCGUAGCCUUAGAUCCAGUCCCUGUAUUGGCUGUUUUCAUUUACUAAUGCAUGUCCCAUCUAACCAUGUCUGUUUUAAAUUGUUUUAUGUUUUUCUUCUGUCUGCAACAGUGUUAUUUGUGCUG